Molecule: ribosomal RNA, 460 nt
Filed under: uncultured bacterium
Lineage: Bacteria
Description: partial 16S ribosomal RNA
Rfam family: Bacterial small subunit ribosomal RNA
Source: RNAcentral
CCUACGGGUGGCAGCAGUGAGGAAUAUUGGUCAAUGGGCGGAAGCCUGAACCGGCCAAGUAGCGUGCAGGAUGACGGCCCUACGGGUUGUAAACUGCUUUUAUACGGGAAUAACGCGCCUUACGUGUAGGGCUUUGCAUGUACCGUAUGAAUAAGGACCGGCUAAUUCCGGGCCAGCGUCCGCGGUAAUACGGAAGGUCCGGGCGUUAUCCGGCUUUCUUGGGUGUAAGGGGAGUGUAGGCCGCAUGUUAAGCUUGCUGUGAAAUGUCCGGGUUCAACCCGGGCCUUGCAGCGCGAACUGGCGUGCUUGAGUCCGCGGAAAGCAGGCGGAAUUCGUCGUGUAGCGGUGAAAUGCUUAGAUAUGACGAAGAACCCCGAUUGCGAAGGCAGCUUGCUGCAGCGGAACUGACGCUGAUGCUCGAAAGCGCGGGUAUCGAACAGGAUUAGAUACCCGUGUAGUC